This is a long non-coding RNA of Chrysemys picta bellii (western painted turtle), 5139 nucleotides long. RefSeq lists it as uncharacterized. Lineage: Eukaryota; Metazoa; Chordata; Testudines; Emydidae. The record is from RefSeq and is a predicted model, not a curated record.
GAGGGACACGGUGGCCAAGUGGCAGCGGGACACCGGCCUGCAGAGGGCGCUCCGGAGGCUAGACGAGCUAAUUCCCAGAGACAACCAGCAGGAAGCGCCGCAGGGAUGAGUCCCGCAUUGCUACUCAUGGUUAAGAAAGCAUGAUGUCUGAGCAGCUCUUCUAAUCUGUGGAGGCUGGAUGUGCGGUAGGACCAGGAGCCAGUCAACUGGUGUAGAUUUAAGCGUCCCCAACACUAUGCACAUAGCAUUAUUGAGUUGAGUGUCAAAGAGUUUAGUGUGACUGCUAUGAAACCACGCUGGUGCACAAAAUUUAGCUGCAGAAUAUACCAAGGCAAUUGUUGCGGUUUGUAAGGUCUGUGGACUGGAGCCCAUGAUGUUCCGGACAAUUUUCUGAUAAGCACAACACGAGACCUGACCUUAUUGCAGGUGUUCUUGAGGUGUUUUCGAAAGGUCAAACUCCAGUCCAGUGUAAUGCCAAGAUACUUUGGAUUAGCUUCAUGGCUGAUGCUCUCACCGCAGAACUGCACAUCAAGUUUGGUAUUAGCCAUUUUAUUGUUCAGAUAGAAAGCAGUUACCGAGGGGUGGGGGGUGGAUUAGGCCUAAGUUUCCAGUAUUGGAAAUAAUCAGCCAUUGUGCUAAGAUCUCAGGUUAGGGUGCUGCUGAUGGUAUGGAGGCUUGUAUGCUGAACAGCUAGGGCAAUAUCAUCCACAUACAUGAAUUUCCUUGACUCCGUCGCUGGUAUAUCCGCGGUGUAUAGAUUUAAAAGUAUUGGGGUCAGGACAGAGCCCCGAGGGAUGCCUGAGUUAAGAGUUCUUGGUCUACUGAUCUGACCAUUAAGGUGUACCUUAAAGCAGUGGUCCCCAGUCAUAGCCGUCAAGAGGUGGAUCAUUUGCCGGCAGUGAAUGAUGUGGAAGACCUUGAGGAGGAGGCCCUGUCUCCAGACAGUGUCCUAUGCUGAGGACAGAUCAAACAGGGCAGUUCCUGUCUUCAACUUAUGUUGGAAUCCUGCCUCAGCAUGGCUGAUAAUGGAGCUACUUGGUCACAGCAGUUCCUCUUCAGGCGAAAUCCUGCCUGCUCACCUGGGAGGAUGUCUUCAAUAAUAUCAGACAGACAGUGGAGCAGCACCUGUUCCAUGAGCUUGCUGGUGGUUGAGAGGAGAGAGAUGGGGCCGUAGCUGGCUGCGUCCUCUGGGGGUUUUCCAGGCUUCAAUAGGGCAACCACUGUUGGCUAAGCUUCAGCAAUAGGAAAUUUACAUUUAUCGCCAGUUUCAUCUAGCCUGUUGCAUCACUGGUAGCUGAAAUGAAAUAAAAAGAAACUAUGAAAACUCUGCCACAGGCUUCAUUUGAGCCCUAAUAUAUUGCAAGAAAUCCCUGCAGGAUGUUUGUCUGCUUUGACCUAAUGGGGUUAAAGGAGCUUACAUGCCCAUUAAGAUAAAAACUCAAGUGAUGCAAAUGUCCACCUGAAUCUGAAAUAAAUUAUUUAUUUUAAAGUUGCAAGGAACAUUAGUCAAAUAGGUUCUCCAGAAAGCACCAAAAAUCUCCUUUAAGGGAAGUAGCUUCAUUUAGCAGACAAGGCAUGAGACUAUGAGUUGGGAUAUUUGGGUUCUAGUCCCAGCUCUCUGACCCCAGUUAGCUAUGUGAAUUUGGACUGAAAAUACCAAACAGUGUAUUGCAAUGAGCAUCCUACGGAGUCAGUUAUACUGAAUGUCCACUUCUAGGGCCUGAUCCUGCAGGGUGUCAAAGGGAGCUGCUUGGGAUCUUAUAGGGCUGGGUUUAUGGUGAAGAUAUUCACUGGGGUGGGGGGAGGACAAAUGUGGGUGAAAUUCAGAGAGGGACAGCAAAAGGCCAAUGCAGCAUUUAAAUUGUAUUUAAGCUUUUAGGUGAGACCUAAGCAGUGCACAGGCCCCCUGGCUCGCUGCACAAAGGUGAAUUUUCCCCUAAGAAGGUUCCACAUAGAGCCUUGCCUACAGCAAUUCCCUAUUUACUGGAUUGUUGACUUCGUGUGGACUCCAGCUGGAUAAAAUACAGUAAAGUAGGAGAGGCUUUAAAACAAGUGAUUCAAAGAAGGCAAAUAGACACAGAUAAAAUAACUGCUGCUCUCUCUGAAAUAGCCACGUACUAACUUGUGUCUCAGUCAGAAAAAUGGGAAGGCGGGGGGUGGGGGGGAAGGGAGGCAAUGCCUAAAGAGGCUCUCCUCUUGCUUUGAGCUAUCUGGGCCAGUGAGCCUGAAAACAACUCAUGCCUGACACUCUGUCAGCAUUUCUGCUCUUCUCCCGAUAGCCAGAUAAAUCUGCAACCUUGUUUGCUACUGUAAAAAAAUUUACUAUUUCAUGUCACCCCCCCCAUUGCACAAUUCUGCACACAAGUGAGAAAUCAAUCAGCGGCACAGACAGAGCAGAGGCUGUGGUGCCAAGACAACGAAACGCUAAGCCAGAGCCUCUGUUUGGCUGCUGCUGCUCUGUUUCCUGCAAAGUGGUUAAUUUGAGGGUGGCAGUGGGGGAGGUACAGUGCUGCAAACCUAAUUUACCCACUGGAAGCCUCGUCAAACGCCUGAUUGGCUGUGAGUCUCUACCAUAUUAGGAGUGUGUGAAGCAAAGAUUAGAAGCCUGGCCCGCACAGCAGGAACUCUCCUGUCAAUCUGAAGACCAGGAUCUAUAUUUAGUAGCAGGCCCAUAGGAAUAGAAUUAAAAUGUGGGAGGGGACUGUUCGAAUGCAGAUUUUGGGUUUUUUUUUUUAAUCUACUAGACACUUGACGAAAGCUUUAAGAAAGAAUUCAGAUCACAUAUUGCACUUUCUUCAGAGAGGAUCUGGUGCAUAAAUUAAUUUUAAUUAUUUUAUUUACUUUUGCAUUAAAACAGGAAAACUGUCUGGCUACUAUGUACGUUGACCACCGUAGUUUAGAUGACUAAUAAUGAUUAUUACACUCCAAAAUAAAAACCCUGUUAAAAGUGUUUGUUUACCCUUCUCCCUCUUGCUUCAAUAGCAUGGAAACUAAUCAGCAAAAGUGCAUUUCAUUUAAAUGCAAUUAUGGCAGUAAUUAUGCUGUGCAAAACAGUUUUGUUCCUAAUAGAUAAAGGACUGCUGUGACAGCCCUCUCUGUUGAGUUUAAAGGGGCAUUUGUUAAAAGGAGAAAGAGAUGUCUGUGGUGUUUGAGAGGUUCUGGGGCCUGUUUACACACUCCAGAUAUAGUUGUUUUAAUGUACUGUUACUAAAUGAAGGGGCUUCAGUUGUAAUUAUUGUAUGUACUAAUGUUUUGUAACAGAAAUUAAUUGGCACAAAGUACUGCUAUGAUGAAACAAGCAAAAAAUCUUAAACUAACCACUCAGCUAAGGGCAUAAAUUCCUUUGAUGAAAUAAAUAUAAACUUCAUUUUCCCAUAGAGAUGCACCUGUGUUGCGUGUGUGUAUUUAUCCAGGAAAGCCCAGAUGCCGUAGCUGGGCUGAUUGCAGCUCAAGGAGAUCAAGUCACUGCUGGAAGGUCACACACACUGAGUCAGUGGUUCAGCUGAAAUUAGAAGGAGAGGGGGCACUGAACAACUCUUCACCAGGGGCACCACUGUCCCUAAUGUCUGGCCCGAGCUGUGAUGCAGCUACGUAUGCAAGAUCAGCUGAUUUUUAACACACCAGUCAGAAUGCAUACUUUAAAUUGUGGUACACUAUGCAACUCUUGCUUCACCACCACCAUGUACCUCUGUCAAAUAGAACAAGAGCAGCUGCAUCAUAAAUCAUUUGGUACAACAUUAGUAAAGUCUUUGUAUCAGGCCACAGUUACAGAGUAAAUGUUUCCCCCUUUGAAAAUAGAUUUCUUGCCUUGGCUUUGAUGUUCAGUUUGAUAAAUGAUUCGACUUUGCCUUAGGAUUUCUGUGGUAGUGGGAAACAAUUAUUCCACAACAACAUUUAAUUUCAUUGAUAUUAUCUAUUAAUUUAAUUGUAUUUGAGGCUCGUGACAAUCCUGAAUUUGGAGGGGGGAGGGCAGGGGCAGCUCUAUGGUUUUUGCCGCCCCAAGCACAGCAGUCAGGCGGGCUUUCGGCGGCACGCCUGCGGGCUGGCCACACGGAUUCGGUGGCAUGCCUGCAGGAGGUCCGCCGGUGCUGCGCCUUCAGCAUCCCCACCGCCGAAUUACUGCCGAAGCCGCGGGACCGGCGGACCUCCCGCAGGCAUGCCGCUGAUGGCAGCCUGACGGCCGCCCUCACAACAACUGGCAGGCUGCCCCCCGCGGCUUGCCGCCCCAGGCAGGUGCUUGCUGUGCUGGUGCCUGGAGCCACCCCUGCGGGAGGGGAAGAUGCUAAAUUAACCUGUUACACAUCAGGCUCACAAUACCAGCAACUCAUUAACCUUAGGAAACACAUUUCUACCUAAAGUAAUAUUUUUGCUCUUUGCUAUUCUUCAAUAUUAUUUUGAUCAUCUCAAGCGCUACUGGUAAUGGGGAAUGGGGCACCACAAGCAAAUAUACUGGGGAGUGUGCUAAUGCAAAUAAAAACACAUUCCAUGCUGGCAUGCUUCCUGUGCACAGGAAGGCCCUGUGACCUUGUAGAUAGAUAAAUCAGGGGACAAAGGUACAAGCCAAAAUUUCAAACAAGGCCCCUGAAUCUUAGGGUAUAUUGGGCCAGAUUUUCAGAGGUGUGACCACCUGCAGCUCCCAAUGACUUCAUUUGGAAUGAUGCGUGCUCAGCACUUUGGAAAAUUAGGCACUAGGUAUUUUAAGUUGGGAGCCCAAAGUCACAGGCCACUUUUGAGAAUUUUGGCUUAAAUUGCUUAGAGUCACACAGUAAGUCAGUGGCAGAACAGUAACAGAAGGCAGGUGUCCUGGUCAGCAAUCCAAUGCCCUAUACAUUAUUAUACCAGUCUGCCUACCAGUUUCCUAUCUUCCACAGGCUACCUCCUGAGCUCUUUGCUUAUCUUUUGCUGCUGAGGUGAAUGAUUCUGUGCAGGCAGCAUCUUGCUUUGCGUGUGAAAUGUCCAACGUGCCCUCAGUCAGUUUUUAAUAGUGCUAACGAGAUUAAUGCCCAGAAUUUACUUAUUAAUAUUUAAUGCUGAAUUCUACUAGGGUGACCAGACAGCAAGUGUGAAAAAUCGGGACGGGGGUGGGGGUAACAGGAGCCUAUAUAAGAAAAAGCCCCAAAUAUCGGGACUGUCCCUAUA